AGAGUUUGAUCAUGGCUCAGAACGAACGCUGGCGGCAUGCCUAACACAUGCAAGUCGAACGGGAUCCAUCCUUCGGGAUGGUGAGAGUGGCGGACGGGUGAGUAACGCGUGGGAACCUGCCCAGUGGUGGGGGAUAACUGCGGGAAACUGCAGCUAAUACCGCAUGAGCCCGAGAGGGGAAAGAUUUAUCGCCAUUGGAGGGGCCCGCGUUCGAUUAGGUAGUUGGUGAGGUAACGGCUCACCAAGCCGACGAUCGAUAGCUGGUCUGAGAGGAUGAUCAGCCACACUGGGACUGAGAUACGGCCCAGACUCCUACGGGAGGCAGCAGUGGGGAAUAUUGGACAAUGGGGGCAACCCUGAUCCAGCAAUGCCGCGUGAGUGAUGAAGGCCUUCGGGUUGUAAAGCUCUUUUGCCAGGGACGAUGAUGACGGUACCUGGAGAAUAAGCCCCGGCUAACUUCGUGCCAGCAGCCGCGGUAAUACGAAGGGGGCAAGCGUUGUUCGGAAUUACUGGGCGUAAAGGGCGCGUAGGCGGCUUAUCAAGUCAGGCGUGAAAUUCCCGGGCUCAACCUGGGGGCUGCGCUUGAUACUGAUGAGCUUGAAUGCGGGAGAGGAUAGUGGAAUUCCCAGUGUAGAGGUGAAAUUCGUAGAUAUUGGGAAGAACACCGGUGGCGAAGGCGGCUAUCUGGCCCGUGAUUGAC
Molecule: ribosomal RNA, 700 nt
Filed under: uncultured bacterium
Lineage: Bacteria
Description: bacterial SSU rRNA
Rfam family: Bacterial small subunit ribosomal RNA
Source: RNAcentral